RNAcentral lists this ribosomal RNA (427 nucleotides) under Enterococcus faecalis. RNAcentral describes it as "bacterial SSU rRNA". It matches the Rfam family "Bacterial small subunit ribosomal RNA", at positions 68 to 474 of the family's 1533-position model. Lineage: Bacteria; Bacillati; Bacillota; Bacilli; Lactobacillales; Enterococcaceae. The record is from RNAcentral.
CCUCCCGAGUGCUUGCACUCAUUUGGAAAGAGGAGUGGCGGACGGGUGAGUAACACGUGGGUAACCUACCCAUCAGAGGGGGAUAACACUUGGAAACAGGUGCUAAUACCGCAUAACAGUUUAUGCCGCAUGGCAUAAGAGUGAAAGGCGCUUUCGGGUGUCACUGAUGGAUGGACCCGCGGUGCAUUAGCUAGUUGGUGAGGUAACGGCUCACCAAGGCCACGAUGCAUAGCCGACCUGAGAGGGUGAUCGGCCACACUGGGACUGAGACACGGCCCAGACUCCUACGGGAGGCAGCAGUAGGGAAUCUUCGGCAAUGGACGAAAGUCUGACCGAGCAACGCCGCGUGAGUGAAGAAGGUUUUCGGAUCGUAAAACUCUGUUGUUAGAGAAGAACAAGGACGUUAGUAACUGAACGUCCCCUGACG